GAGGAACGCUGGCGGCGUGCUUAACACAUGCAAGUCGAACGGAAAGGCCUGCUUUCCCUUGUGGAUUGCGGGUACUCGAGUGGCGAACGGGUGAGUAACACGUGAGUGAUCUGCCCCCAACUUGGGUAUAAGCCUGGGAAACUGGGUCUAAUUCCCGAUAGGACUGCAGGGUGGUGCCUGUGGUGGAAAACGAUUUUCUAGUGGUUGGGGAUGAGCUCGCGGCCUAUCAGCUUGUUGGUGGGGUAAUGGCCUACCAAGGCGGCGACGGGUAGCCGGCCUGAGAGGGUGGACGGCCACAUUGGGACUGAGAUACGGCCCAGACUCCGACGGGAGGCAGCAGUGGGGAAUAUUGCACAAUGGGCGGAAGCCUGAGGCAGCGACGCCGCGUGGGGGAUGACGGCCUUCGGGUUGUAAACUCCUUUCGACCGCGAGGAAGCCACCUGGUUGGAAGGGUGGUGACGGUAGUGGUAGAAGAAGCACCGGCUAACUACGUG
RNAcentral lists this ribosomal RNA (494 nucleotides) under uncultured bacterium. RNAcentral describes it as "partial 16S ribosomal RNA". It matches the Rfam family "Bacterial small subunit ribosomal RNA", at positions 31 to 507 of the family's 1533-position model. The record is from RNAcentral.